This is a long non-coding RNA of Leptopilina heterotoma, 350 nucleotides long. RefSeq lists it as uncharacterized. The transcript is spliced from 3 exons. Lineage: Eukaryota; Metazoa; Arthropoda; Insecta; Hymenoptera; Figitidae. The record is from RefSeq and is a predicted model, not a curated record.
GUGAGUAUAUAAAUCGAGAGAAAAUUUUAUUUAACAUCAAUUCCAAUUUUGGUUUUAACGAAGAAAACAGAAAUGAAACUUCACACUCUUUUGCUAUUGUGUAUUACACUUUUCGUCAUGACCUUUAGUGUCCAAGCAUGUCAAAAGGAAAAUGAAUUUUGCAGCAGAACUAAACCUUGUUGUACUGGACUUAGAUGUAACAGCGGAAAAUGCCGACGAGGAGGCUAAACAAAAUUUUAAUUCUAAAUAACAAUACAUAAUGUAAAUUACAAUUACGCAUAUGUUUUUUUUAUUUAAAUUUUUUACUGUAAACCCAUUGCUACAAAAUAAUAAAAAAAAAGAAAAUAUUA